RNAcentral lists this ribosomal RNA (254 nucleotides) under uncultured bacterium. Its description in RNAcentral is "partial 16S ribosomal RNA". It matches the Rfam family "Bacterial small subunit ribosomal RNA", at positions 524 to 776 of the family's 1533-position model. The record is from RNAcentral.
UACGGGGGGAGCAAGCGUUGUUCGGAUUUACUGGGCGUAAAGGGCGCGUAGGCGGUCGGGUCAAGUCACUUGUGAAAUCUCCGGGCUUAACUCGGAACGGUCAAGUGAUACUGUCGGACUAGAGUACAGAAGGGGCGACUGGAAUUCUCGGUGUAGCGGUGAAAUGCGUAGAUAUCGAGAGGAACACCUGCGGCGAAGGCGGGUUGCUGGGCUGAUACUGACGCUGAGGCGCGAAAGCCAGGGGAGCGAACGGG